RNAcentral lists this long non-coding RNA (567 nucleotides) under Aedes aegypti (yellow fever mosquito). RNAcentral describes it as "lncRNA AAEL026293". Lineage: Eukaryota; Metazoa; Arthropoda; Insecta; Diptera; Culicidae. The record is from RNAcentral.
UAUAAGCCAACCGGAAGUUGGCGUACCCCGGGGGAGUGUUGUCAACGCGCAGUUCCACCGGACUGGCAACGCUUCUACGAAUACUAUUACAAAGGGAAACUGUAGUACCUAUAUGGACUUGGCAAACUGUCAAGGAGAUGAGAUGGCAAGAAAUUAGAAUAACGAGGCGUGAACAAAGACAAAUUGGCACAAUUCUUUAAUCUAAAACAAACUUAUGUCUAAAGUUAGUAAAAUCUUAAUCUAUUGUUAGUUAAUGAUAAAAGUUAAUAAGCUAUUUUCUAUUAGUACGGUAAGAGUGAAUUAUUAUGAACUGAACAUGCUGAAUUUCUAUUCUAAACUACUUAUCUAUUAGCUUAACCUACACGAACGGCGAGCAAUUCAUUACGGCAGUUAAAUCUAAAAUCACACAAAUAAUUAGUUGGUAUCCAUGCAACAAUAACCGUCAGAGUAUCAAUUGUUGUCUGACUCCGAGCGCGUAGUAAACGAAUUUUAUAACCGCCCCCACAUUGAACUCAAAUAAACGGUUUAUAAAAACGGAAUCUGCUCUUUGUUGUAUGGUGAGCCAAC